This 253-nucleotide ribosomal RNA is filed under the name uncultured bacterium. Its description in RNAcentral is "partial 16S ribosomal RNA". It matches the Rfam family "Bacterial small subunit ribosomal RNA", at positions 524 to 776 of the family's 1533-position model. The record is from RNAcentral.
UACGAAGGGGGCUAGCGUUGUUCGGAAUUACUGGGCGUAAAGGGCGCGUAGGCGGCGUGUCAAGUCAGGCGUGAAAGCCCCGGGCUCAACCUGGGAACCGCGCUUGAGACUGGCAUGCUCGAGUUCGGGAGAGGAUGGUGGAAUUCCCAGUGUAGAGGUGAAAUUCGUAGAUAUUGGGAAGAACACCGAUGGCGAAGGCAGCCAUCUGGACCGACACUGACGCUGAGACGCGAAAGCGUGGGGAGCAAACAGG